CUGGAAUUGCUAGUAAUGGCAGGUCAGCAUACUGCCGUGAAUACGUUCCCGGGCCUUGUACACACCGCCCGUCACACCAUGAGAGUUGGGGAUGCCCGAAGCCUGUGAGCUAACAUUAUGAGGCAGCAGUCGAAGGUAGAAUCAAUGAUUGGGGUGAAGUCGUAACAAGGUAUC
Molecule: ribosomal RNA, 174 nt
Filed under: uncultured bacterium
Lineage: Bacteria
Description: partial 16S ribosomal RNA
Rfam family: Bacterial small subunit ribosomal RNA
Source: RNAcentral